Long non-coding RNA from Myotis myotis, 1152 nucleotides. RefSeq lists it as uncharacterized. NCBI's taxonomy places the organism in Eukaryota, Metazoa, Chordata, Mammalia, Chiroptera, Vespertilionidae. The transcript is spliced from 6 exons. The record is from RefSeq and is a predicted model, not a curated record.
GCUGCGGCUCACGACAACUACCGGCGCUGCCGCGGGUCUGGCGGGAGCCGGGGGCUGGGCCGGCCACGCGCGGGGCACCACGGGAGCGGGAGUCCGCGGCCGGCGGGCCGUCACCUGAGACCGCGCCUGAGGAGCGGAGACCCCGCGUCGCGGCCGGAGAGGGCUGCAGCCAAAGAAGCUAUUGCCAGCCCGUCAGGUGGAGGAGGCAGGGGACCUACUUGGAGGUGGAGUCCCAGGAUGAUGGCCUCGAGGAGGCAGAGGCGGAGGAGGAGUAGAGGAAGGUGGAGCGAAUGGUCCAUCCCGGCGGGAGCUGGCUGGGCGAGUGGCCCCGCAUGUGUGCCUGCAUGGAGGCCAGGCUGGGGCAGCCGGCUCCGCACAGAGAGCAGCGACAGAACAAGAAUAGGGCCUGGACCGAGCAGGAGGAGGCCUGAAAGGCUGUUGGCGAGAUGGGCAGCCUGCUUUGCCCACAUGACCCACACAGGUUGCAAGUGUACCUGUGGGGACAAAAAAGAUAGGCUUCCAUUGGGCCCUUCACUCACCUCUGAUCCUGAGGCCAGACCUCUUGCCAGGCUGCACUGAUGGAAGUACUAUGGGAGAAAGGAGUGCCAUAUCUGGGCGGCAAUAGCAGGAGGCUCCACAGGGCAGGCUGGCUCUCCCUCAACCAAGGGGCCUCAGCCCACCAGGGCCUAGAGAGUCAAAGAAGUGUAUCUGAGGCAACAAAAAACUCUGAACUAAUCAGAUCUGCAUUUGAGUCUCAUCUCUGCCAUUUACUAGUUGAGUCACCUUGGGCAAAUCAUCUCUCUGAGCCUCCCUUACUUACCUCAUCCAUGAAAUAGGAGGUGUCAGCGGAGCUCCAGUAGAUGAAAGCGGUUUCUGCUAUCUCAGAGGCAAAAAGGACUGAAAUAUCUGGAUUCCAAGGAGAGAGUGAAGGAGAGCCGAAAGCAUGCCUGACUUGAUACUAGGAAGCCUUGACUGCUUUGUGGAAAUGACCUCUGUCAUUUGAGCCAUCACUGAGGACUGGGUGUGUGAGUGACUCAGAUCCUCCCAUCAGACUCUGAAGGGGGUAACCCCAGAAAGGGUCUGUGGUGGUCUUUGAAGAGAAAAACUCCUUUUCUUGGGUUGAUGACAAAUUACAUUUCUCUGAAAUCAGAA